UCGGGUUUUGACAACCAUAAGGUGGUCCAAUUGGAUGGACAGCAGCUGUGUUUUGCAACUGUUUUCAGUGGUGGCCUUUGUCAUAGAAACUUCCAUUCUGACUGAAUUGAAGGCGAGAGAGAAGCUCUUUUGCAGUUCAAGCUUGGCCUUAAAGAUCCUUCUAACUUGCUUUCUUCUUGAGGUGGUGAUGCAGAUUGCUGUGGAUGGUCCGGAGUCUUAUGUUAUAAUAUCACCAGCCAUGUU
Molecule: unclassified non-coding RNA, 243 nt
Filed under: Hevea brasiliensis (rubber tree)
Lineage: Eukaryota; Viridiplantae; Streptophyta; Magnoliopsida; Malpighiales; Euphorbiaceae
Source: RNAcentral